Rana temporaria (common frog) is the source of this 568-nucleotide long non-coding RNA. RefSeq lists it as uncharacterized. The record is from RefSeq and is a predicted model, not a curated record. The transcript has 2 exons. Lineage: Eukaryota; Metazoa; Chordata; Amphibia; Anura; Ranidae.
UUCAGAUAUGAAAAGUUUUUUUUGCAUCUAUUAGUUGGAGGGGGCUGUGCUCCGUCACAGGCUGGGAGACUGUUGAGCGGGGGAGGUUGUUUUCCUGUCUUUCUCAUUCAGUACAGAAUAACCCAGGUUCAUUUCCUCCCAGUAGCAAGGUCACAGUAAAGGAGAUUUAUAGUCUCAUCUGAAUGAAUGUCCAUAAAUUUGGAGAGGGCAAUGUAUUUCCAAAAAAUAACAAUUAUCUUGUAAGGAUAUAAUUUAUUGCCGGGGAUGAAGAUAACUUUUCUAAAGGUGUCCAAGUGUUCUUAAAGUGUAUCUAAAGCCAAUCUUCCGGCCUUACCUCUACAAUGAAUCCUGUCCUGUUGUGUGUCCUGAGGAAGCGGAAAGCGAAACUCGUUGACUCACAAGGACCCAUUCAAUUGCUCAUUUAUCUGGAACACGAUAACAGUAAUUUGAUGUAUCAUUACUGCUACUACCAGAUGUGUUUGUGCACAUGUUUUUAAUAAUGCACAUGUCAUACGUACCUUUGUUUUAACAUUGUUUAUGUACAAAUAAAAUUGUAGAUUUUUAUAUA